UACGUAGGGUGCAAGCGUUGUCCGGAAUUAUUGGGCGUAAAGAGCUCGUAGGUGGUCUGUUGCGUCGGCUGUGAAACCCCGAGGCUCAACCUCGGGCCUGCAGCCGAUACGGGCAGACUAGAGUUCGGCAGGGGAGACUGGAAUUCCUGGUGUAGCGGUGAAAUGCGUAGAUAUCAAGAGGAACACCUGCGGCGAAGGCGGGUUGCUGGGCCGACACUGACGCUGAUGCGCGAAAGCUAGGGGAGCGAACGGG
This 253-nucleotide ribosomal RNA is filed under the name uncultured bacterium. Its description in RNAcentral is "partial 16S ribosomal RNA". It matches the Rfam family "Bacterial small subunit ribosomal RNA", at positions 524 to 776 of the family's 1533-position model. The record is from RNAcentral.